This 1375-nucleotide ribosomal RNA is filed under the name metagenome. RNAcentral describes it as "SSU rRNA". It matches the Rfam family "Eukaryotic small subunit ribosomal RNA", at positions 294 to 1696 of the family's 1831-position model. The record is from RNAcentral.
ACCUUUCAAGUGUCUGCCUUAUCAACUUUCGAUGGUAGUUUAUGUGCCUACCAUGGUUGUAACGGGUAACGGAGAAUAAGGGUUCGACUCCGGAGAGGGAGCCUGAGAAACGGCUACCACUUCCAAGGAAGGCAGCAGGCGCGCAAAUUACCCACUCUCGGCACGAGGAGGUAGUGACGAAAAAUAACGAGACGGAUCUCUUUGAGGCCCGUUAUCGGAAUGAGAACAAUUUAAAUCCUUUAACGAGGAUCUAGCGGAGGGCAAGUCUGGUGCCAGCAGCCGCGGUAAUUCCAGCUCCGCAGGUGUAUAUCUAUGCUGCUGCGGUUAAAAAGCUCGUAGUUGGAUCUGCGUGCUCGGAACCGGUUGGCUCACUGAGUUCAAACUGGUCUCCGGCGCUUUAUUGGCUGGUUUUCCCUUGAUGCUCUUAACCGGGUGUCUUGGGUGGCUAGCACGUUUACUUUGAAAAAAUUAGAGUGCUCAAUACAGGCGCAAAGCCUUGAAUAGUGGUGCAUGGAAUAAUAGAAUAGGACCUCGGCUCUAUUUUGUUGGUUUUCGGAACGCGAGGUAAUGAUUAAGAGGGACAGACGGGGGCAUUCGUAUUGCGACGUUAGAGGUGAAAUUCUUGGAUCGUCGCAAGACGGACGACUGCGAAAGCAUUUGCCAAGAAUGUUUUCAUUAAUCAAGAACGAAAGUUAAAGGUUCGAAGGCGAUCAGAUACCGCCCUAGUUCUAACCGUAAACGAUGCCAACUAGCGAUCCGCAGGCGUUAAACAACGACCUUGCGGGCAGCUUCCCGGAAACGAAAGUGUUCGGGUUUCGGGGGAAGUAUGGUUGCAAAGCUGAAACUUAAAGGAAUUGACGGAAGGGCACCACCAGGAGUGGAGCCUGCGGCUUAAUUUGACCCAACACGGGAAAACUCACCCGGCCCGGACACCUUAAGGAUUGACAGAUUGAGAGCUCUUUCUUGAUUCGGUGGGUGGUGGUGCAUGGCCGUUCUUAGUUGGUGGAGCGAUUUGUCUGGUUUAUUCCGAUAACGAACGAGACUCUGGCCUACUAAAUAGUGGGCGGAUUCUUUCUGUCCGCAACACUUCUUAGAGGGACAAGCGGUGUUCAGCCGCACGAGAUUGAGCAAUAACAGGUCUGUGAUGCCCUUAGAUGUCCGGGGCUGCACGCGCGCUACACUGAAGGAAUCAGCGUGCUUUCUGACCUUGCCCGAAAGGGCUGGGUAACCCGAUGAAAAUCCUUCGUGAUUGGGAUAGGGACUUGCAAUUAUUUCCCUUGAACGAGGAAUUCCCAGUAAGUGUGGGUCAUAAGCUCGCGUUGAUUACGUCCCUGCCCUUUGUACACACCGCCCGUCGCUGCCCGGGACUGAGCCG